AUGGGUAUCUCGCGUGACUCCAUGCACAAGCGCCGGGCCACCGGUGGGAAGCAGAAGGCUUGGAGGAAGAAGCGAAAGUAUGAGCUCGGCCGCCAGCCAGCCAACACUAAGCUUUCAAGCAACAAGACAGUGAGGAGGGUCCGUGUUCGCGGAGGUAACGUGAAGUGGAGGGCUCUCCGUCUUGACACUGGUAACUUCUCAUGGGGUAGUGAGGCUGUGACCCGCAAGACCCGUCUCCUGGAUGUGGUUUACAAUUCGUCAAACAAUGAGCUUGUGAGGACUCAGACCCUUGUCAAGAAUGCCAUUGUGCAAGUUGAUGCUGCCCCCUUCAAGCAGUGGUACCUGACUCAUUAUGGAGUCGAAAUCGGUAGGAAGAAGAAAGCUGCUGCAGCUGCCAAGAAGGAACCUGCUGAGGGGCAAGAGGCUGAGGUUGCUGCUGCUGCCACAGAGGAAGCAAAGAAGAGCAACAAUGUCCAGAGGAAGCUUGAGAAGCGCCAGCAGGGACGUACACUGGACUCGCACAUUGAGGAGCAGUUCAGUGGUGGAAGGCUGCUGGCCUGCAUUUCGUCUCGCCCUGGACAGUGUGGCAGAGCUGAUGGGUACAUCCUGGAGGGCAAGGAGCUGGAGUUCUACAUGAGGAAGCUCCAGAAGAAGAAGGGCAAGGGUGCCACAGCUUAG
This 678-nucleotide ribosomal RNA is filed under the name Triticum aestivum (bread wheat). RNAcentral describes it as "partial small subunit ribosomal RNA". Lineage: Eukaryota; Viridiplantae; Streptophyta; Magnoliopsida; Poales; Poaceae. The record is from RNAcentral.